AGGGUUUGAUUCUGGCUCAGGAUGAACGCUAGCGGGAGGCUUAACACAUGCAAGUCGAGCGGGAGGGGUAGCAAUACCCCAAGAGCGGCGCACGGGUGCGUAACGCGUAUGCAACCUGCCUUAUACAAAGGGAUAGCCCAUGGAAACGUGGAUUAAUAUCUUAUAGGACUUGUGAGUCGCAUGGUUUACAAGUUAAAACUACGGUGGUAUAAGAUGGGCAUGCGUCUGAUUAGGUAGUUGGUAGGGUAACGGCCUACCAAGCCGACGAUCAGUAGGGGUUCUGAGAGGAUUACCCCCCACACUGGUACUGAGACACGGACCAGACUCCUACGGGAGGCAGCAGUGAGGAAUAUUGGUCAAUGGGCGAGAGCCUGAACCAGCCAUCCCGCGUGCAGGAUGACGGCCCUAUGGGUUGUAAACUGCUUUUCUGCUCCAAGAAACCUGAUUACGUGUAAUCAGUUGACGGUAGAGUAGGAAUAAGCAUCGGCUAACUCCGUGCCAGCAGCCGCGGUAAUACGGAGGAUGCAAGCGUUAUCCGGAUUCAUUGGGUUUAAAGGGUGCGCAGGUGGGAAUGUAAGUCAGUGGUGAAAUACUGCCGCUUAACGGU
This 607-nucleotide ribosomal RNA is filed under the name uncultured bacterium. RNAcentral's name for it is "bacterial SSU rRNA". It matches the Rfam family "Bacterial small subunit ribosomal RNA", at positions 8 to 616 of the family's 1533-position model. The record is from RNAcentral.